UACGUAGGGGCCGAGCGUUGUCCGGAGUUAUUGGGCGUAAAGCGCGCGCAGGCGGCGGUGUCAGCCCGACGUGAAAGCCCCCGGCUUAACCGGGGAGGGUCGUGGGGGACGGCACCGCUUGAGGGCGGGAGAGGUCGGUGGAAUUCCCGGUGUAGUGGUGAAAUGCGUAGAGAUCGGGAGGAACACCUGUGGCGAAGGCGGCCGACUGGGCCGACCCUGACGCUGAGGCGCGAAGGCGUGGGGAGCGAACGGG
This 253-nucleotide ribosomal RNA is filed under the name uncultured bacterium. RNAcentral's name for it is "partial 16S ribosomal RNA". It matches the Rfam family "Bacterial small subunit ribosomal RNA", at positions 524 to 776 of the family's 1533-position model. The record is from RNAcentral.